GAUGAACGCUAGCUACAGGCUUAACACAUGCAAGUCGAGGGGAAACGGCAUCGAAAGCUUGAUUUUGAUGGGCGUCGACCGGCGCACGGGUGAGUAACGCGUAUCCAACCUGCCCAUCACUUGGGAAUAACCUUGCGAAAGUAAGACUAAUGCCCAAUGACAUCCCACGAAGGCAUCCGAAUGGGAUUAAAGAUUUAUCGGUGAUGGAUGGGGAUGCGUCUGAUUAGCUUGUUGGCGGGGUGACGGCCCACCAAGGCAACGAUCAGUAGGGGUUCUGAGAGGAAGGUCCCCCACAUUGGAACUGAGACACGGUCCAAACUCCUACGGGAGGCAGCAGUGAGGAAUAUUGGUCAAUGGGCGAGAGCCUGAACCAGCCAAGUAGCGUGCAGGAUGACGGCCCUAUGGGUUGUAAACUGCUUUUAUAAGGGAAUAAAGUGGGUCACGUGUGACUUUUUGCAUGUACCUUAUGAAUAAGGACCGGCUAAUUCCGUG
This 492-nucleotide ribosomal RNA is filed under the name uncultured bacterium. Its description in RNAcentral is "partial 16S ribosomal RNA". It matches the Rfam family "Bacterial small subunit ribosomal RNA", at positions 28 to 507 of the family's 1533-position model. The record is from RNAcentral.